This is a long non-coding RNA of Rhinichthys klamathensis goyatoka, 524 nucleotides long. RefSeq lists it as uncharacterized. The record is from RefSeq and is a predicted model, not a curated record. The transcript has 4 exons. Lineage: Eukaryota; Metazoa; Chordata; Actinopteri; Cypriniformes; Leuciscidae.
UAAACUAAACUAUGUAGCCAGUAAGCUAAAGAAGCAAUCAGAGCAAGCGAUCAUAGUCAGGUGAAAAUGAAGAACCAAUGUGAAAGGCUGGGCCAGACAAUGUUAAAAAAGAGAAUGAAGACAGACCAGUUCAUAAAACAUCAGCUUUUCUCAGUCUACAGACGCACGCACAAAGCCAGUUAGCAACAUAGCAAGUUAGCACUGUAUUAGAAAAAUAUAUGUUUAUCUAAGAUAAAAGGAGCAUCUUACUUCAACUCUUUUUCAGGGACACAUCAUAACAAAAGUACAUCUAUUCUCAAGAAAAAGGCAUCAUGGAUAGCUCCACGUCGAUUGGUAUAGCCGUGGCGUUUGGCAUCUUGGGAUUGUUCCUGCUGAUAUGUUUGAUGCAGAUAUUCUGCAAGAAAAUCAAACGCUGCAAGCGCAAAAACCAGUCGGUGAAAGACAAAAUUUUAAAGAAAGUCGGGAUGAAAAAUUUGCCUCCGUUUUCAAUCAGCAGAAUCGUUGACAAGAAAUAACGCCCAUCA